This 504-nucleotide ribosomal RNA is filed under the name Triticum aestivum (bread wheat). Its description in RNAcentral is "partial small subunit ribosomal RNA". The record is from RNAcentral. Lineage: Eukaryota; Viridiplantae; Streptophyta; Magnoliopsida; Poales; Poaceae.
UUGAAACCGGUUAAUUCUAAAAAUCCCAUUGAUAUACUAAACAUUAAGUUGAAGAGGUUCAACAAAUUCUUUAAAGGAUGUGGUGCAAAUCUUUUUGGCAAUAGAAAGAGGAGAAGGGACCUCAGGGAGGAGUUGGAGGAUCUAGAAAUUUUGGAAGAAACAGAUGUGCUGUCCCUUGAGCUAUAUGAGAGGAAAGUUGAGAUAUCAGCAGAAUUAUAUAAUCUGUUAGUGGAGGAGGAGGUGGCUUUGAUGCAAAAAUCACACGGAAAUUGGCUCUUGAAAGGGGAUAGAAAUACUGACUACUUUCACAGAAUUGUGAAUGGGAGGAGGCGGAGAAAUACUAUUUUUUCUCUUACUUGUGGGGAUGUGAUUAUUGAAGGAAAUAAUAAUCUCUUGGAACAUGCCACUAAUUUCUAUAAGGAACUUUUUGGGCCAGCAGUGGGAAACUUAUGUAAAAUGAAGGAAGAUAUGUGGGAAUCACGAGAGAAAUUGUCAGACAUUGAC